UACGAAGGGGGCUAGCGUUGUUCGGAAUUACUGGGCGUAAAGCGCGUGUAGGUGGUUGUCCAAGUUGGAUGUGAAAGCCUUGAGCUCAACUCAAGAAAUGCAUUCAGGACUGGGCGGCUAGAGGACCGGAGAGGAUAGUGGAAUUCCCAGUGUAGUGGUGAAAUACGUAGAGAUUGGGAAGAACACCAGUGGCGAAGGCGGCUAUCUGGACGGUUUCUGACACUAAGACUCGAAAGCGUGGAGAGCAAACAGG
Molecule: ribosomal RNA, 253 nt
Filed under: uncultured bacterium
Lineage: Bacteria
Description: partial 16S ribosomal RNA
Rfam family: Bacterial small subunit ribosomal RNA
Source: RNAcentral